UUCAACGGCCGCGGUAUUUUAACCGUGCGAAGGUAGCGUAAUCACUUGUCUUUUAAAUAAAGACUCGUAUGAAUGGCAUCACGAGGAUUAAACUGUCUCCCUCCUCUAAUCAGUGAAACUGAUCUCCCCGUGCAGAAGCGGGGAUAAUAUCAUAAGACGAGAAGACCCUGUGGAGCUUUAAAUCAAAAGUCAACUACUUUAUCUUAUAUUAAAACACAUUCCAUAGACCUGACCAAGAUUUUUAGCUGGGGCGCCUGCGGAGAAAAAUUUAUCCUCCAUGAAAAUUAAAGCUACGAAUUACCAUUCCAGGUAUUAAUAAACUUAACUUCUAUUGACCCAAUCUUAUUGAUCAACGGACCAAGUUACCCCAGGGAUAACAGCGCAAUCCACUUUUAGAGUCCCUAUCGACAAGUGGGCUUACGACCUCGAUGUUGGAUCAGGGCAUCCGAGUGGUGCAGCCACUACUAAAGGUUCGUUUGUUCAACGAUUAAAG
This 493-nucleotide ribosomal RNA is filed under the name Leptolalax melanoleucus. RNAcentral describes it as "partial 16S ribosomal RNA". It matches the Rfam family "Bacterial large subunit ribosomal RNA", at positions 1923 to 2593 of the family's 2925-position model. Lineage: Eukaryota; Metazoa; Chordata; Amphibia; Anura; Megophryidae. The record is from RNAcentral.